RNAcentral lists this ribosomal RNA (405 nucleotides) under uncultured Beijerinckiaceae bacterium. RNAcentral describes it as "bacterial SSU rRNA". It matches the Rfam family "Bacterial small subunit ribosomal RNA", at positions 354 to 776 of the family's 1533-position model. The record is from RNAcentral. Lineage: Bacteria; Pseudomonadati; Pseudomonadota; Alphaproteobacteria; Hyphomicrobiales; Beijerinckiaceae.
GUGGGGAAUAUUGGACAAUGGGCGCAAGCCUGAUCCAGCCAUGCCGCGUGAGUGAUGACGGCCUUAGGGUUGUAAAGCUCUUUUACUCGGGAAGAUAAUGACGGUACCGAGAGAAUAAGCCCCGGCUAACUUCGUGCCAGCAGCCGCGGUAAUACGAAGGGGGCUAGCGUUGUUCGGAAUCACUGGGCGUAAAGCGCACGUAGGCGGAUUUUUAAGUCAGGGGUGAAAUCCCGAGGCUCAACCUCGGAACUGCCUUUGAUACUGGGAAUCUCGAGUCCGGAAGAGGUAAGUGGAACUGCGAGUGUAGAGGUGAAAUUCGUAGAUAUUCGCAAGAACACCAGUGGCGAAGGCGGCUUACUGGUCCGGAACUGACGCUGAGGUGCGAAAGCGUGGGGAGCAAACAGG